Saccostrea echinata is the source of this 817-nucleotide long non-coding RNA. RefSeq lists it as uncharacterized. The transcript is spliced from 3 exons. The record is from RefSeq and is a predicted model, not a curated record. NCBI's taxonomy places the organism in Eukaryota, Metazoa, Mollusca, Bivalvia, Ostreida, Ostreidae.
UUGUAGAAUGAUUACAUACAGAAAUAUUUUCCAAGAAUAGAAAAUUGAUUUUCAGCUAAUCUAAAAUCUAUGUUAAUGUUAUUUCUAAAGAGUUCUAAGUAAAAAUAAGAAAGCUUUGUGUAAAGGUGGCCCCAGUGAAGUUAUGUAUGCUGAAAUAUAAGAUAAUUAGGAUAUUGAACAUUUUUCACAAUCAAUAAUUACCUUCCAAUAGUUGCAUGCUGUGUAAGAAUUCAGAUAGUAAUUGUUUUACAUGUGGACAGUCUUUUCAGUGGAUGUCUUAAAUCCAGCAAUUUCUGUCAAUUCACACAUGAAAUCUAUCAAUCAGGAAUUGAUCUAGUUUUCUCCUAGGAGUUCUUUAUUGAUUAGCAUAAUUUUGGUCUAUGGAGGACCUAUGCAGUUUAUGAGCAAAAAUUGAUUUCUCUGUGUCACUUCUUUUGGUCCAUCUCUUCUUGUUAAAUUUCAGGGCACAUGGCAAAACUUUGAAAAAAAAAAUUGUGUUUAAAUUUACAGUUAAAAAAAAUUGAGAGUAAACUUUUUUGGACACUAUAGAUGUGGGUGUUAAGGAGACUUUAAUAUUCCUCCAGUAUUGGAAUUCUGUUCCCCCAGUAUUGGAAUUCUGUGCUGGUCCUAUCAAUUCGGGCAGUGGCAAGAUCAUUUCCAUGGAGCAUUCACAGUUGUAACAAGGUUUACAGUUGCUUUUCCUUUUCCUUGGACCAUAACAAGAAUACACACAGAAGCAUCAUGGAGACAUAAAAAUUCAGAUCCCUGCAGAAAGACUGCAUAAGGUGAAUUCCUCCAUAGCCUACUGGACUUGGCC